CAUUUUGUUUAUUAUUAAACUUACUGUAUGUCGAGGGAUUUGAUGGUGAAUUAGGAGAAACAGAAUUUGUGGAAGCUACAAGUAAGCACAUUAUACAUUUUGUUUAUUAUUAAACUUACUGUAUGUCGAGGGAUUUGAUGGUGAAUUAGGAGAAACAGAAUUUGUGGAAGCUACAAGGGUAAAAGUUCAAGUUAACACACAGAGAGAGGGCUGCACAACCAAAGGAUAGGUCUGAACUGAAACCUCAUCUACUUCAUUGACUCACCGCGCCUCCCAAACAAAGUUUCUAAUGUUACAGAUGGAAGAGAAAGCUCUGAUCAUUCUUUUAGAGGGUGAAGAUAUUUAUAUCGACUACUACCUUAGAAGGUGGAGAUAUCUAUAUCGACUACUACCUUAGAAGGUGGAGAUAUCUAUAUCGACUACUACCUUAGAAGGUGGAGAUAUCUAUAUCGACUACUACUUUAGAAGGUGGAGAUAUUUAUAUCGACUACUACUUUAGAAGGUGGGGAUAUUUAUAUCGACUACUACUUUAGAAGGUGGAGAUAUUUAUAUCGACUACUACUUCAGAAGGUGGAGAUAUCUAUAUCGACUACUACUUUAGAAGGUGGAGAUAUCUAUAUCGACUACUACUUUAGAAGGUGGAGAUAUCUAUAUCGACUACUACUUUAGAAGGUGGAGAUAUCUAUAUCGACUACUACUUUAUAUAGAUAUCUCCA
Molecule: long non-coding RNA, 716 nt
Organism: Limulus polyphemus (Atlantic horseshoe crab)
Lineage: Eukaryota; Metazoa; Arthropoda; Merostomata; Xiphosura; Limulidae
Exons: 3
Source: RefSeq, a predicted model, not a curated record